CCUACGGGUGGCAGCAGUGAGGAAUAUUGGUCAAUGGACGAGAGUCUGAACCAGCCAAGUAGCGUGAAGGAUGACUGCCCUAUGGGUUGUAAACUUCUUUUAUAUGGGAAUAAAAUGUUCCACGUGUGGGAUUUUGUAUGUACCAUAUGAAUAAGGAUCGGCUAACUCCGUGCCAGCAGCCGCGGUAAUACGGAGGAUCCGAGCGUUAUCCGGAUUUAUUGGGUUUAAAGGGAGCGUAGGUGGAUUGGUAAGUCAGGUGUGAAAGUUUGGGGCUCAACCGUAAAAUUGCAGUUGAAACUGGCAGUCUUGAGUACAGUAGAGGUGGGCGGAAUGCGUGGUGUAGCGGUGAAAUGCUUAGAUAUCACGAAGAACUCCGAUUGCGAAGGCAGUUCACUGGACUGCAACUGACGCUGAGGCUCGAAAGUGUGGGUAUCAAACAGGAUUAGAUACCCGGGUAGUC
RNAcentral lists this ribosomal RNA (460 nucleotides) under uncultured bacterium. RNAcentral describes it as "partial 16S ribosomal RNA". It matches the Rfam family "Bacterial small subunit ribosomal RNA", at positions 338 to 795 of the family's 1533-position model. The record is from RNAcentral.